This 429-nucleotide ribosomal RNA is filed under the name Chloroflexota bacterium. Its description in RNAcentral is "Chloroflexi bacterium partial 16S ribosomal RNA". It matches the Rfam family "Bacterial small subunit ribosomal RNA", at positions 355 to 776 of the family's 1533-position model. Lineage: Bacteria; Bacillati; Chloroflexota. The record is from RNAcentral.
UGGGGAAUAUUGCACAAUGGGCGCAAGCCUGAUGCAGCCAUGCCGCGUGUAUGAAGAAGGCCUUCGGGUUGUAAAGUACUUUCAGCGGGGAGGAAGGGAGUAAAGUUAAUACCUUUGCUCAUUGACGUUACCCGCAGAAGAAGCACCGGCUAACUCCGUGCCAGCAGCCGCGGUAAUACGGAGGGUGCAAGCGUUAAUCGGAAUUACUGGGCGUAAAGCGCACGCAGGCGGUUUGUUAAGUGAGAUGUGAAAUCCCCGGGCUCAACCUGGGAACUGCAUCUGAUACUGGAAAGCUUGAGUCUCGUAGAGGGGGGUAGAAUUCCAGGUGUAGCGGGGAAAUGCGUAGAGAUCUGGAGGAAUACCGGUGGCGAAGGCGGCCCCCUGGACGAAGACUGACGCUCAGGUGCGAAAGCGUGGGGAGCAAACAGG